AUCCCAGAGCCGACGAAUCCGAGAGAGAAGGCCCUCUGCCUCUCCGCUGCUCUCAUCUCCAUCACAGGCCGCGGGAGAGACGACCGUCGACAGCCUCUCUGAGCCACGCCAAUCGCCGGGAACGAAAGCCUCGCCGAUGACGCCCUGAAGCACGCAUCGGAGCGCCGCUGUUUCGUCAUCAUUGUCGCCUGGCCGAAUCCAUCUAUCUCAAGCCAAGCCGCUGCGCCGUGAAGUUUGCCUCGACUUCCUCUUCAAGACGCCUCAAGAAUCACCAUCGGAGACACUAGGAGCACGGAGAACACGCCCCUUUUUCCUCGGCGCCGAUCUGAACCUGCCACCGUCGCUACUGCCGAAUCCAUCCUCUCCGUUCUUGGAGCUGUUCAAGCUAUCAUCGUCGACCCAGAGGAGAUUGCCGCCGCCGAGCAGUUGCACGAGUCGCCGUCACCCACCAAGCUUUGCCAGUCCUGUCUAGCAUCUCGAUAAUUGCAUAAUCGGUGAAGGACUGGAUUAGGUGCUAACGUUUCUCUGAUCAAGGCAAGUUUUCUCCUCCCAUCCUUUGAACACAUUGAAUCCCAUGAUUUGAGGAAUGAAAAUAUUUGUUUGCAAAGUUGCAUGUGAACUUAGACUAUAUCGGUAUUUAAAAUUGGGUUAAGGUAGUUAUGACCUAUUUGCUACAUACCCCCACCUUGAAUAAUUGAUCCUCUUGCUGUUUGAAACCCUAGAAAUGGUUAGAGUACACUCUUUGUGCUCAAAUGGGUUUAUAUAUGCUCUAUGUGCAACUACUUGCUUAGCCAUGCUUAGAAAUAUGCAAAUGCUCAUUCCAUCUAUAAUUAAAAUGUGAUUUUGAUACAUGAACCUUUGCUAGAAUAAAAUGAAUAUGAUGGGUAUUUGCGAACUAAAAUGUGUAAAAUGUGAUUUUAUACUUGGGCGGCAAGUGGUGUGCAUAUGGUGUUAGUUGCAUACCGAUAGGGGGAGUGUUUGCCCAAGUCCAUAAGGACCGAACUUGUGUCACCCAUUUAAAGUUAUUCGUACAUCCACAUGUGCUAGUAUGGGAUGGUCUAAGCUGAUUAAUCUAUUUAGGACUAGCCUUGCAUUCUGGUAGGCCGGUGUGUAUGAGUUCGUAUAAUUCAGAGGAGCUUCCUAUUUACCCCGACGUGGUAGUUUAGGUGACUAAACAUGUCCAAUACAACGGUAUUGUGCCACGUGGUGGGUUCCCGUCGUGUCCGCCACCACGGCGUUAAGUUUAAGGCGUGGGCCCACCACUUAACGGUUCUAGACAUAUUUCCAAGUAUGCCUAGGAUGGAGGAACACGUAUCGUGCUGGUGCAAGGCUAGAUUCUAAGUAGUGUAAAGGAUUCGUUGUGACCUCUAGUCCGCACUCAUAAUGUAGAGUGUGUGGUACUUGGCCGGCACUGAACCAACUAGAGUGUAGCCUCUAGGCUUCUAUCAUAUCAUGUGGGUAAAGGUGUACAAACUCUGCAGAGUUCUUUAAACUAAUCGAUUAGCCGUGCUCACAGUCAAGAGCGCUUUGGUGAUGUGUCAUGAGUAUUUAAACUAAUCGAUUAGCCGUGCUCACAGUCAAGAGCGCUUUGGUGAUGUGUCAUGAGUAUAGACUAUGUUUUAAAAAUGUAAUCAUGUGACAUUGGUUUGAAAUUGAUAAAUGUGUUGAGUUGUGUGUGUGGUGAUACAUUAUGACUUAUUGUUAAGUAUGACAAUAAGAGAUUGAUUAUGAUGGAAUUAUGAAGAAGUUAAUAAUGAAACUUAAAACUUGUCUUUGUUAAUUGAAGCAUCAACUCCUUUACAAAAGAAUUGCGAAACAAAACUUGCUUUAUGCUGAAAUUAAACUACAUAUUGCCUUCCUUUGAAUAUAUGUCUUACAUGUAGUAUGAUAGGAUUGAUUUGUGCUUGCCAGUACAUUAAACAAGUUAACUUGUUUAAUGUACUGACUUGCUGUUGAUAUAACCUUUUGUUUGCAGGUUUAGAUUUAGUCUUUGAGUGAUGCGGGUUCCGAUUGCUUCUUCUAGGAUGAGAACUUAAUGGGGUAAACCCCUAGUCGAUGUGCUUGUGAUUGGGUAGUCAAGCUUCCGCUGUUCUCUAAUAAGUCUAUUUGGCCGGUCGGUCUAUGUAAUUAUUAAGUUGUUGUAAGUCUUAAGUUUCUUUUAUCUUAGUUGUGUUUGCUAUGUAUAAUCAUGUUUAAGAUGAAAGUGUGAAUCUAGUGCACUAGUGCACAUCCUGGGAACUAGAUUUACAUGAGUAUGAGUUAGGAAUAUUUGAGAGGUUGUAGAUCUUU
This 2289-nucleotide small RNA is filed under the name Oryza sativa Japonica Group (Japanese rice). RNAcentral's name for it is "sRNA Os02g0498666". The record is from RNAcentral. Lineage: Eukaryota; Viridiplantae; Streptophyta; Magnoliopsida; Poales; Poaceae.